Molecule: long non-coding RNA, 670 nt
Organism: Motacilla alba alba
Lineage: Eukaryota; Metazoa; Chordata; Aves; Passeriformes; Motacillidae
Exons: 4
Source: RefSeq, a predicted model, not a curated record
CGCGCUCCCGGUGCGAUUCGCGCCCGGGCCUUGCGUCGCUCGUUCCCUCUGUUCCCCGCAGACUUGUCGGUCCCUCCAGACCCUUCGAACCCCUUGCCUCGGGCAGCUUCUGCCAGUACCCAGCCCUCGUCCCGAGCGAAGCGGUCCAGAGGGGCGCGGCCCGCCCACCGCGCUCCCAAAGCCGCACGGCGCCUGGAAUAUGAAGCAAGGCCUGAAAGGCGUUGUGAGGAAAAUCAAAUGUAUUUCAGUGGGGUUAUAAUCUACCAGGAAACUUGCAUGCACCUCGCAAACCUCUCUGAGCUGACAGGAGACUGCAGCUUAUCCGCUGUCAUCGUGGUUUUGUGACAUGGAUGUGGAGCCACAGAAGCAGCCAAAACAACACAACUGAGAAGCUGGCACAGAAACAACUUGUUUUUUCCUUUGUGAUGCCAGCAGCAGAAGCAAUCUGGAAAGGAGGUUUAGCACAGGUUAAUGUAGUUCUAUUCCCAACAGAGAAUUUAUAUUCUCAGUAGCUGUCACUGUCGAGGCGGUCGCGACACAAAGCAGAGACCACAAGCAGUCUCAGUUGGCAACUGUUUAUUAUCGAACAUGGCUGACCUUUUAUACACUCUCUGAUUGUUUAUGCUUCUUCUACCCUAACUAUUGGACACAAUAAAUCAACAUAACACCA